GAUGAACGCUGGCGGCGUGCUUAACACAUGCAAGUCGAGCGAAGCACUUAAGUUCGAUUCUUCGGAUGAAGACUUUUGUGACUGAGCGGCGGACGGGUGAGUAACGCGUGGGUAGCCUGCCUCAUACAGGGGGAUAACAGUUAGAAAUGGCUGCUAAUACCGCAUAAGACCACGGUACUGCAUGGUACAGUGGUAAAAACUCCGGUGGUAUGAGAUGGACCCGCGUCUGAUUAGGUAGUUGGUGAGGUAACGGCCCACCAAGCCGACGAUCAGUAGCCGACCUGAGAGGGUGACCGGCCACAUUGGGACUGAGACACGGCCCAGACUCCUACGGGAGGCAGCAGUGGGGAAUAUUGCACAAUGGGCGAAAGCCUGAUGCAGCGACGCCGCGUGAAGGAUGAAGUAUUUCGGUAUGUAAACUUCUAUCAGCAGGGAAGAAAAUGACGGUACCUGACUAAGAAGCC
Molecule: ribosomal RNA, 464 nt
Filed under: uncultured bacterium
Lineage: Bacteria
Description: bacterial SSU rRNA
Rfam family: Bacterial small subunit ribosomal RNA
Source: RNAcentral